UAGGGGGCAAGCGUUAUCCGGAUUUACUGGGUGUAAAGGGAGCGUAGACGGCAUUGCAAGCCAGAUGUGAAAGCCCGGGGCUCAACCCCGGGACUGCAUUUGGAACUGCAGGGCUGGAGUGUCGGAGAGGCAAGUGGAAUUCCUAGUGUAGCGGUGAAAUGCGUAGAUAUUAGGAGGAACACCAGUGGCGAAGGCGGCUUGCUGGACGAUGACUGACGUUGAGGCUCGAAAGCGUGGGGAGCAAA
This 245-nucleotide ribosomal RNA is filed under the name uncultured bacterium. RNAcentral's name for it is "partial 16S ribosomal RNA". It matches the Rfam family "Bacterial small subunit ribosomal RNA", at positions 528 to 772 of the family's 1533-position model. The record is from RNAcentral.